This is a long non-coding RNA of Drosophila hydei, 291 nucleotides long. RefSeq lists it as uncharacterized. Lineage: Eukaryota; Metazoa; Arthropoda; Insecta; Diptera; Drosophilidae. The record is from RefSeq and is a predicted model, not a curated record. The transcript is spliced from 3 exons.
GGGCAUAUCAGUUCUAUAGGAACCGAAUUGUCAAGCAACAAUUUAGCCUUGUUUAUUCAGUUGAAUAUAUUUCUUACAUAUGAAUAUAUUCAUAUAUAUUUCUAACAGCAUGAAUAGCCUUAAAAUACUUUAUUUUCUAAUGCAGAUCAUAGCAGCAUUGGCGGCAUUCAACAAGGUCAUCAAAUCACCUCAAUGCCGAUAUAUGGCUGAUGUUGGACCUUGCGAUGCAAAUGCAUGCAAACUUGCUUUGUAGAGAAUGCGGACGGGCAAGAUCAUUUAGAAGAUGCACGG